UGGGGAAUUUUGGACAAUGGGCGAAAGCCUGAUCCAGCAAUGCCGCGUGUGUGAAGAAGGCCUUCGGGUUGUAAAGCACUUUUGUCCGGAAAGAAAUCCUUGGCUCUAAUACAGCCGGGGGAUGACGGUACCGGAAGAAUAAGCACCGGCUAACUACGUGCCAGCAGCCGCGGUAAUACGUAGGGUGCAAGCGUUAAUCGGAAUUACUGGGCGUAAAGCGUGCGCAGGCGGUUUGCUAAGACCGAUGUGAAAUCCCCGGGCUCAACCUGGGAACUGCAUUGGUGACUGGCAGGCUAGAGUAUGGCAGAGGGGGGUAGAAUUCCACGUGUAGCAGUGAAAUGCGUAGAGAUGUGGAGGAAUACCGAUGGCGAAGGCAGCCCCCUGGGCCAAUACUGACGCUCAUGCACGAAAGCGUGGGGAGCAAACAGGAUUAGAUACCCUGGUAGUCCACGCCCUAAACGAUGUCAACUAGUUGUUGGGGAUUCAUUUCCUUAGUAACGUAGCUAACGCGUGAAGUUGACCGCCUGGGGAGUACGGUCGCAAGAUUAAAACUCAAAUGAAUUGACGGGG
Molecule: ribosomal RNA, 570 nt
Filed under: uncultured bacterium
Lineage: Bacteria
Description: partial 16S ribosomal RNA
Rfam family: Bacterial small subunit ribosomal RNA
Source: RNAcentral